This is a small nuclear RNA of Phacochoerus africanus (Common warthog), 105 nucleotides long. The record is from RefSeq and is a predicted model, not a curated record. Lineage: Eukaryota; Metazoa; Chordata; Mammalia; Artiodactyla; Suidae.
GCUCACUUCAGCAGAACAUAUACUAAAACUGGAAUGCUACAGAGAAGAUUAGCACAGCCCCUGUGCAAGGAUGACAGGCAAGUCUGUGAAGCAUUCACAUUACAA